GAUGAACGCUGGCGGCGUGCCUAAUACAUGCAAGUCGAGCGAAUGGAUUAAGAGCUUGCUCUUAUGAAGUUAGCGGCGGACGGGUGAGUAACACGUGAGUAACCUGCCCAUAAGACUGGGAUAACUACGGGAAACCGGGGCUAAUACCGGAUAACAUUUUGAACCGCAUGGUUAGAAAGUGAAAGGCGGCUUCGGCUGUCACUCAUGGAUGGACACGCGACGCAUUAGCUAGUUGGUGAGGUAACGAAUCACCAUGGCAACGAGGAGUAGCCGACCUGAGAGGGUCAUCGGCCACACUGGGACUGAGACACGGCCCAGACCCCUACGGGAGGCAGCAGUAGGGAAUCUUCCGCAAUGGACGAAAGUCUGACGGAGCAACGCCGCGUGAGUGAUGAAGGCUUUCGGGUCGUAAAACUCUGUUGUUAGGGAAGAACAAGUGCUAGUUGAAUAAGCUGGCACCUUGACGGUACCUAACCAGAAAGCCACGGCUAACUACGUGCCAGCCGCCGCGGUAA
RNAcentral lists this ribosomal RNA (515 nucleotides) under uncultured bacterium. RNAcentral describes it as "partial 16S ribosomal RNA". It matches the Rfam family "Bacterial small subunit ribosomal RNA", at positions 28 to 523 of the family's 1533-position model. The record is from RNAcentral.